CAGCAGCCGCGGUAAUACGGAGGAUACGAGCGUUAUCCGGAAUUAUUGGGUUUAAAGGGUGCGUAGGUGGCGUAUUAAGUCAGUGGUGAAGAGCUGCAGCUCAACUGUAGUCUUGCCGUUGAAACUGAUAUGCUAGAGAGGAGACGAGGUAUGCGGAAUGUGUGGUGUAGCGGUGAAAUGCAUAGAUAUCACACAGAACGCCGAUUGCGAAGGCAGCGUACCAGGCUCCGUCUGACACUGAAGCACGAAAGCGUGGGGAUCAAACAGGAUUAGAUACCCUGGUAGUCCACGCAGUAAACGAUGAAUACUAGAUUUUUGCGAUAUAGUGUAAGAGUCUAAGCGAAAGCGAUAAGUAUUCCACCUGGGGAGUACGCCGGCAACGGUGAAACUCAAAGGAAUUGACGGGGGCCCGCACAAGCGGAGGAACAUGUGGUUUAAUUCGAUGAUACGCGAGGAACCUUACCCGGGAUUGAAAUUUAGAUGGCGGCAGAUGAGAGUUUGCUUUCCUUCGGGACAUCUAAGUAGGUGCUGCAUGGUUGUCGUCAACUCGUGCCGUGAGGUGUCGGCUUAAGUGCCAUAACGAGCGCAACCCGCGUCGAUAGUUACUAACAGGUUAUGCUGAGGACUCUAUCGAGACAGCCGUCGUAAGACGAGAGGAAGGGGCGGAUGACGUCAAAUCAGCACGGCCCUUACAUCCGGGGCGACACACGUGUUACAAUGGCAGGGACAAAGGGAAGCGACAUGGUGACAUGAAGCGGAUCUCCAAACCCUGUCCCAGUUCGGAUCGGAGUCUGCAACUCGACUCCGUGAAGCUGGAUUCGCUAGUAAUCGCGCAUCAGCCAUGGCGCGGUGAAUACGUUCCCGGGCCUUGUACACACCGCCCGUCAAGCCAUGGAAGUUGGGAGUACCUGAAGAGCGUAACCGCAAGGGGCGCUUAAGGGUAAUACCAGUGACUGGGGCUAAGUCGUAACAAGGUAAGCCGU
RNAcentral lists this ribosomal RNA (983 nucleotides) under uncultured Porphyromonas sp. RNAcentral's name for it is "bacterial SSU rRNA". It matches the Rfam family "Bacterial small subunit ribosomal RNA", at positions 509 to 1503 of the family's 1533-position model. Lineage: Bacteria; Pseudomonadati; Bacteroidota; Bacteroidia; Bacteroidales; Porphyromonadaceae. The record is from RNAcentral.